AUUGAACGCUGGCGGCAGGCCUAACACAUGCAAGUCGAGCGGUAGAGAGAAGCUUGCUUCUCUUGAGAGCGGCGGACGGGUGGGUAAUGCCUAGGAAUCUGCCUGGUAGUGGGGGAUAACGUUCGGAAACGGACGCUAAUACCGCAUACGUCCUACGGGAGAAAGCAGGGGACCUUCGGUCCUUGCGCUAUCAGAUGAGCCUAGGUCGGAUUAGCUAGUUGGUGGGGUAAUGGCUCACCAAGGCGACGAUCCGUAACUGGUCUGAGAGGAUGAUCAGUCACACUGGAACUGAGACACGGUCCAGACUCCUACGGGAGGCAGCAGUGGGGAAUAUUGGACAAUGGGCGAAAGCCUGAUCCAGCCAUGCCGCGUGUGUGAAGAAGGUCUUCGGAUUGUAAAGCACUUUUAGUUGGGAGGAAGGGCAGUAAAUUAAUACUUUGCUGUUUUGACGUUACCGACAGAAUAAGCACCGGCUAACUCUGUG
Molecule: ribosomal RNA, 484 nt
Filed under: uncultured bacterium
Lineage: Bacteria
Description: partial 16S ribosomal RNA
Rfam family: Bacterial small subunit ribosomal RNA
Source: RNAcentral